GACGAACGCUGGCGGCGGGCUUAACACAUGCAAGUCGAACGGAAAGGCCCUGCUUUUGUGGGGUGCUCGAGGGGCGAACGGGGGAGGAACACGUGAGUAACCUGCCCUUGACUUUGGGAUAACUUCAGGAAACUGGGGCUAAUACCGGAUAGGAGCUCCUGCUGCAUGGUGGGGGUUGGAAAGUUUCGGCGGGUGGGGAUGGACGCGCGGCUUAUCAGCUUGUUGGUGGGGGAGUGGCUUACCAAGGCUUUGACGGGUAGCCGGCCUGAGAGGGUGACCGGCCACCUUGGGACUGAGAUACGGCCCAGACUCCUAUGGGAGGCAGCAGUGGGAAAUAUUGCACAAUGGGCGGAAGCCUGAUGCAGCAACGCCGCGUGCGGGAUGACGGCCUUCGGGUUGUAAACCGCUUUCGCCUGUGACGAAGCGUGAGUGACGGUAAUGGGUAAAGAAGCACCGGCUAACUACGUG
RNAcentral lists this ribosomal RNA (468 nucleotides) under uncultured bacterium. Its description in RNAcentral is "partial 16S ribosomal RNA". It matches the Rfam family "Bacterial small subunit ribosomal RNA", at positions 28 to 507 of the family's 1533-position model. The record is from RNAcentral.